Dickeya dadantii 3937 is the source of this 125-nucleotide regulatory RNA element. It matches the Rfam family "RtT RNA". Rfam says of the family: This family represents a bacterial cis-regulatory element known as RtT RNA. The record is from Rfam. NCBI's taxonomy places the organism in Bacteria, Pseudomonadati, Pseudomonadota, Gammaproteobacteria, Enterobacterales, Pectobacteriaceae.
GACAUUACGCUGUCGUGCAGGUGAGAAGCUGCGUUCAGGUUCGAGCCGAGCGAAGCGAGACAACAGCGCGCAGCGCUGGCCCGAAGGGCGAGGCCGCAGGCCGAGUCAUCCUGCACGACCCACCA